AUUAGGGAGACAUAAGUCUUCAGAAGGUUAUAAUAAAGUACAUUAUCUACUUCAGAAAUAGGGCUAUUAGCUCAGCUGGUUAGAGCACACCCCUGAUAAGGGUGAGGUCUCUGGUUCAAGUCCAGAAUAGCCCACAUGGGGAUAUAGCUCAGUUGGUAGAGCGCUGCCUUUGCACGGCAGAUGUCAGCGGUUCGAGUCCGCUUAUCUCCACAUGAUAUUUAUAUCAUAACUAAAUCUUGAAAACUGUAGAGUGGCAGAUAUAGAAAA
RNAcentral lists this transfer RNA (267 nucleotides) under Proteomonas sulcata. Its description in RNAcentral is "16S-23S ribosomal RNA intergenic spacer". The stretch from base 138 to 210 matches the Rfam family "tRNA". The record is from RNAcentral. Lineage: Eukaryota; Cryptophyceae; Pyrenomonadales; Geminigeraceae.